RNAcentral lists this long non-coding RNA (458 nucleotides) under Geospiza fortis (medium ground-finch). RNAcentral describes it as "lncRNA (ENSGFOG00000009352.1)". The record is from RNAcentral. Lineage: Eukaryota; Metazoa; Chordata; Aves; Passeriformes; Thraupidae.
CGCUGGGUUGUGAUCCAGGCCAGCGUUCCCAGCUCCCGGCGUCACACCCUCUCCCAGCUGUUGCCUCGCCGAGCAUCGCGGGCGCUGCCAAGAAAACCUUGGUGAUGGAUGCAACUCCCUCCCCGCUCCCUUAAAACCGGCGGGGAGCGGCACCGUGCCUGUGUCUGCCCCGGCACGCCGAGAUCCGCCUGGGAAUGGGAUCCCGCUGGCACCCAGGGCACCCCCAGCUCGUCCUGCCCAGCGCGGAGCAGCGGGACAGCGUUGGCACCGCACGAGCUCAUGCCUUAGGCCGGUGUGGAGGGAGCUGCCGCUGUGCCCUGGGGCGCUGAAGUGUCACCUGUCCCCCAUCCCGACAGAGAAGAGACAGGUGAGAGGGUGCCCGGUGUCACUGGGGUGUGGGGGGAGCUUCCCUUUGGGUUUUCAGUCCAAUUCAGUACAAAAAAAAAACAAAGAGAGAG